Panicum virgatum (switchgrass) is the source of this 1280-nucleotide long non-coding RNA. RefSeq lists it as uncharacterized. The record is from RefSeq and is a predicted model, not a curated record. The transcript is spliced from 3 exons. NCBI's taxonomy places the organism in Eukaryota, Viridiplantae, Streptophyta, Magnoliopsida, Poales, Poaceae.
GCGGUGGCAGCGGCUGCGUGCGGCUGGCGUUGAGCUGGCGUGGGAGCCAAAGCGGCCGGAGACCGCGAGGCGGAGCGGCGGGAGCGAGCGGCGUGCGCGGCAUUCGGCCAUCGAGUCUCUGGUCAGUGGGGACGCCCGGCUGUGGAGCCCGUGUGUCUGUGGCAUGGAAGGGAGCGGCGGCCGGGUGCGCAGCCGCGGUUCCGUCGGGUUCCGCGUGCUGGCCGCGCACUGGCCGCGUCCCCUACGCACGCGGCCGGGAGCGGCCUCCGCUCGCUGUUUGGUGGGGCGUCCUCCCGUGGACCCUAGCUGGCGGCUGCUGCGGCUGUGUGUGGCUGCUGUCCAAACCUGCGGGGCACCGCGCGGCGCGGUGCGCAGGUGGGCGGCCUUGACCUUCCCGUCAGCACGGCCUCGGGACGCAGCGCGCGCCCGCGCUCCUGCGCCUGCAUUCCUUCGCCUCCCCACGCCGGAACAGUGCCCCCCACCCCACCACGCCACCCGCCGCUGCUGUCUGGUGGGCCAAACUCGCGCGGAGCCCCAGUGCCGGUGACCGCGGCUGCGUGGCCUUGCCGGCUAUUGAGGAUGACAGCAGGGGAGGCGGGGCCUUUUCGGCUACCCGGCCUUGGAUCUACCUUGGAUCCCCUCGCCUCCCCACACCGGAACAGUGGCCCCCGCCCCCCACGCCGGAACAGUGCUCGGACGGCACCUGUCCGUCCUGCCCUCUGCUGCGGCCGCGACGUCCCGUCGGAGCCGGUGGCCGAGACCGCCCCGUCACGUCGGCCAGUUCCCGGAGCUCGAGACCCGGCCCCUAUCCCGCCGAGAUAAGAGCCGCGCCCCUUCCCUCUCCUCUCCCUCCUCUUCCCCCCCUUUCUUCUCCGUCCUGCUUCUCUCUUGGUGUUCUUUAUCCGGCUGCUCUUUUUCGCCUGCUACGCAGUCUGAGGAUCUGUGAGCCCAUGCGCUUCUUGCCGUCGCCGAUCUUACCCUUGCUUACGCAUUGCUAUAGCCUAGGUUGAGAUCUGUUUUUCUCCUGAUGCUCUGCAGGAACUGGAGCGGCCAUGGAUCACAUCACCUAGGGUUUGGAGCUCCACCUGCUGGGAGAGGCUGGUUGCUACGCCAUCCCUUCGAUUCCCUGCUGUUAGGAAGCUGCCUUCCCUUUCGGUUCGACUAUGCUCUAGAUCUUCAAGGCUGCUGUUGCUGGGCACAGGCUGAUCCCUGCUUUCCUGUUGCUGCAACCAGUGGUUGUGAAGGUACGGCUUGUUCAUCUUUCUUUCAUGUCAUGUCAG